GAAGGAUAAAUGUUAAUGGAAUGUUACACUCGGAAACAACUCCUUUAAGGUAUUAGUAACCAUUUGGGUACUGACUUUUGUCAUCAUACUGUUUCAUUGUUGGUCUCCUCCUUGAUGACAAUGGUUUUUGUCUGUCUCUAAAAAACACUUACGAUGGUCUGGUGCAAGGUUGAAGGAAUCCCUUGCACUGGAUGCACCCAAUAUUUUCCCCACUCAAGUUCUAUGCGGAAAAAGAGUGGCUAGUGUGAACUCCACUUUUGUCUUAUGGGCGGAAAUAACCAGUACAGUGAUCAUCCAUGGGACUUCAGUGAUUACUUCCUUCUGGCUGGAUCUGAGUAAGAUAAUCUCUUCAUUUAACUGUAUCUGUCUGCAGUUAUUCCAACGACGUGAUGUGUGCACUCUUGGAUUUGUCAGUUUAACACCAUGAGUGUUAUUACCCAUUGUCAUGGUAUAAGAGCUGGAUACAUUCUACACCUUUCUGACUGAGAGAGAUUAUGUUUUGUUUUACUGUGCACAAGGCUCCCGCUUUACAUUCACCUCUCCCAGACCCUGCGUAAAGCGGGAGCCUUGUGCACUGGGUACGACCUUACUGAUUUCCAAUGACAAAGUGCAGGGCUGUUCACCCUACAGAUUCUUUUAAUGAUUUCUUUUCUAGUCUUGCUCAUCUCUAAGCUUACAUUUCCUCACCAGGGUCGGGCUUCUCAUAAAAUCAUGGUUAUAAUCUGGGACGGAGUUGCACUAUUGAUGGAGCAAUCUGCUUAGGAAACUUCGUUUGUUUGACCAGUUAUGAAUGAUUGGCCACAUGUCUAGGGAGCAUCGUCAUUUUUUUGUUUUUUAUCAUGGCCUCCACUUGCCCCCUCAAUGUCCUGCACUUGUUAGUUGUCUGAUAGAUAUUAUUAUGAAAGGAACAAUACUUACCUGUAUCUUGGUGCUCUAGUGGCUCCCCUCAUAGUCGGGUUUCUUGGAAAAACUACUAAACUUUUAGUUGUACAAGACUCACGAUCUAGAGGUUCUCAGUAAAGGUCUGUUUCAGCCUCUUUAUUUUUCUUCUGUCUUGUUUGGGCCCGGGGAGGAUUCUGCAACCACUUCCCCGUUGAUCUUACUUAUUCUUUUGGCGGUUCCUCUUUAAGUAUAGCACAACCAUCUGCUCUUGUGAGCACUUUGGCAUGCCUUUAAGAUUAGUACAGGAAAGAAGAAAAAACCACUCUUGAGCAGUGACCCCUGCUAUAAGUUCCUGUUGCACUUUCCAUCGGACUGUUGCAUGGGAGACAGGGUGAUGCAAGGUUCCAACUAACUGGCACUGUCAAUCUCAUUGGCUGUUUCCUAGUAUUUAUAAUGAUUCUUACAGAAGUGGACUCUUUGUUCACUAAUUUUGUGAAGUUCUAUUUUUAAUCAAUUCUGUUUCUUAUAAAGUAAAAGGACAUAUUCACAUUGUUCGUUCUUUGUGAAUAUCAUAACUGAAUCUUUUUACUUGUCUCUAACUCUAGAAACCCUAGGUUAGAUUAAAGUCAGUGUUUAGGGAGUGGUAUUAAUUUAGGUUUUGACAGCAUAUUUUAUUUUUCACUAUGUGGUAGUUAGAGCUUUUGUUAAUUUCUAGAACGUUUGUAGUGAAUAUCUUGUCCACUAUGAUGUACUUCUUGUAAAAAGAAAAUAAAAAUGUCAAAACACUAGAAGCUAUACUUUGAACGCGUGUUUGUAACAUUUCCACUUUUUUUUUUUAUUUAAUGCCCAAAGGAAAUAGUAAUUUUUUUUUUGUUUUCAUUUCAAAAAAGCUCAAACAUAAGCUCUCAUCUGUAUAUUGUUGUUCUUCUAUUAGAUGAAGGAAACACAGAAAACUUUUUGGUGACUAUUUUUAGUAACUGUUUUUCCGUGAAAGAAGCAUAUCUGGAGAUAUCCAUUUUUGUAAACUCUAGUGAAGUCUCCUAGUCUGGAUCAGUGGUGCUCUGACUUCUAUUGCAUUGACAGUGCUUUUGGUUGAAGUAGAAGGCCAUAGUCUUCUACUGAAUUAAUUUCUGUAUCUUCUGGCCUUCCGUUGAUGCCAAGUUUUGAAAUUCUCCGGUGGAAAAUUUGCUCAGGCAUGGAUUGAAGAAGAGCCAAGGAAGAUGUGUUCAACGAUUAGUUCCUUUGUUUCUUCCCUUCACAUAUAAUCUUCUACUAUAUUCUAUGGAUAACCAUCUAUACUACUUGUAUAGGUGGGGAAUAUCAACUAAUAACCAUCUGAUCAGUCCACCUGCAAAUUGAAAUUAUGAUGCUGUACUGUAAAAGAUAUUCAUUUGGAUAGUUAAUCGUAUAACCAACCCUGUCAAGGACUUCUAGGACUAGUGAGGCUCUUAACUUUUUCACUGGGAUGAGGGUUAGUGUUGCUUUCGGUUAAUUUAUUUAAAGGAAUUCUGAUUGUUAUUGGUAUGUUGAAUAUUUUCCUACACUAGAGUGUAAUGAUUCUGUGUUUUCUUCAAAAAGUCAAUGUUCGAUUCCUUAUCCACGAUUUGCACAUUUCUUUUGAGUUAAUAAAUCGAAAACAAUUGAAAAAAAAGGAAAUUCUCUUCUAGCUUUUAUUCCCCCUAUUUUCUUGGCAGGGUGGUUUAUAAAUUUCAUCUACUUUCUCUAUGUUUCAUUAAAUAAUUCACUGCUUGGUCUGAACUUUUGGUUAAUGAUUCAUUUGUGCUUAAAUUAUUUAUUUUUGUUGAAGUGGAUGUAUUUUAGUUUAUAUGUGAUAGCUAGUGGUGCUUUGCAAACCCAGGAAGAAACGUAGGACCGGAUUGAAUUGUCCAAUCCUUUAUUUGUGGCAUGUAGUCCAAUGGACAAAUUAGUCCCACAGUACAGGGAUUUGAUGAAUUUUUUUUUUCCAUAUCUGGUCCCACCCAAACUAGUGUUUCUAAUCACAUUCAUUACCUAAUUAAUAUUUCACAAAUGUUUGUUUUUUGCAAUUUUACAUAGGGGCAACACCUAAAGGUGUUCUGAGAGUGAUGGGUGUUCCAGGACUAACUAUUUAUCAUGUGAAGAGCCAUUUACAGGUGCGGGUCACCUUGCUAUACUAUAUUACAUAUUCAGGGACAUUUAAUGUUCUUAUUUUUAACUACGCAAUUAUUCUUUUGUAUAGAAAUACCGACUUGCAAAGUACCUGCCAGAGUCUCCAGCUGAUGGUAAAGGCGUCUAUCUCCUAUAUAUGUUAUUUUAGCAAUAGAAAACUUGUUUUUACCUUAUAAAAAUAUGAGUUAAUUUGAAUUUGGAGUACUGUUUCUGACUGAUAGGUUCUAAGGAUGAGAAGAAGGGUUCUGGAGACAGCCUAUCUUGCUCAGAUUCUUCUCCGUGGGUACCUUUUCCUUUACCUUUUAUUGGUUAAACCUCUGUACGAGGACCACAUUUUGUCUCUUAAGCUUUCAUGACCAAUAUCAUUAUCCCUCUUCACUUGCAUAAUCAUUUGUCUCAUGCAUAUGCAUCUAACGUUCCAAAAAAAAACAUUCAAUUGUUCAGUGGAGUGCAAAUUAAUGAGGCAUUAAGGAUGCAAAUGGAAGUUCAGAAGCGUCUUCAUGAACAGCUUGAGGUAAGGUCUCUUUCUCUCACUUCACCUUAAAUUGCUGGAAGAGAGAUGUAGUCUGCCCUGCGAUAUCUUUAUUGGAAGGAAAGCUCAUAGAAAGAAAAUUGUUUCUGACAGACGCAGAAAAAGAAUUACUCAAGCGCUAAAAGGAAAGUUUUCAAGUUUAUGCUGAAAAUUAUUUUGCAAAAAUUGAAAAUAGUUAAUCCAGCAAUUACAUAGCCUAGAGGUCAAGGUUUUUGUAUGCCAUUUUUCUUCUCCGGGGCCUGAGUUUGGCUCUGGCUUUGGGAAUAUGGAUUGGGUAAUAAUUGUUUUUCAAUAAAAAUAAUGUUGUAGAGAUGGGAAAAUCGGUGGGUGGAUGUUCUGCAAAUGCCCAUCUUUUUUCUGUGUUCUUCAAUUUUUGUUCUUAGAUCCGACCAUAGUGUUGCUCGUUCAUUUCUGCAGUAGAGCAUGAUUCAGGAACUGUUUCCUGAUCUCCUAUCCUCUCAGAAUCAAGUGCAGGCACUUAAUAUGAUGAAAACUUGUAAUGAGCUGUUCAUGUAUGCGAUUUAGGGGGAUGGUUAUUGUCAUUUUGUUCUGGUCAG
This 4119-nucleotide long non-coding RNA is filed under the name Malus domestica (apple). Its description in RNAcentral is "long non-coding RNA (MDOM_LNC011367)". The record is from RNAcentral. Lineage: Eukaryota; Viridiplantae; Streptophyta; Magnoliopsida; Rosales; Rosaceae.